This 1358-nucleotide ribosomal RNA is filed under the name metagenome. Its description in RNAcentral is "bacterial LSU rRNA". It matches the Rfam family "Bacterial large subunit ribosomal RNA", at positions 1579 to 2925 of the family's 2925-position model. The record is from RNAcentral.
UUUUAGUCGAAGUCAGUGAUCCCAUGCUGCCAAGAAAAGCCUCUAGCGAGCUUCGAGCGGCCCGUACCCCAAACCGACACAGGUGGUCAGGUAGAGAAUACCGAGGCGAUCGGGCGAACUGUGGUUAAGGAACUCGGCAAAUUACCCCCGUAACUUCGGGAGAAGGGGGGCCACAGACCGUGAAACCCCAUGCGGGUGGCAGCGGUAGGUGGCUGCAGAGACCAGGGGGAAGCGACUGUUUACUAAAAACACAGGUCCGUGCGAAGUCGUAAGACGAUGUAUACGGACUGACGCCUGCCCGGUGCUGGAACGUUAAGGGGACCGGUUAGUCCGCAAGGGCGAAGCUGAGAACUUAAGCGCCAGUAAACGGCGGUGGUAACUAUAACCAUCCUAAGGUAGCGAAAUUCCUUGUCGGGUAAGUCCCGACCUGCACGAAUGGCGUAACGACUUCCCUACUGUCUCAACCACAGGCCCGGCGAAAUUGCACUACGAGUAAAGAUGCUUACGCGCGGAAGGACGGAAAGACCCCGGGACCUUCACUAUAGCUUGACAUUGGUACUCGAAUUGAAUUGUGUAGGAUAGGUGGGAGACUAUGAAGCUCGGACGCCAGUCCGGGUGGAGUCAACGUUGAAAUACCACUCUGUUGAAUUUGGGUAUCUAACUUCGGACCGUGAUCCGGUUCAGGGACAGUGUCUGGUGGGUAGUUUAACUGGGGCGGUUGCCUCCUAAAAUGUAACGGAGGCGCCCAAAGGUUCCCUCAGCCUGGUUGGCAAUCAGGUGUUGAGUGCAAGUGCACAAGGGAGCUUGACUGUGAGACUGACAGGUCGAGCAGGGACGAAAGUCGGGACUAGUGAUCCGGCACCGGCGAGUGGAAGCGGUGUCGCUCAACGGAUAAAAGGUACCCCGGGGAUAACAGGCUGAUCUUCCCCAAGAGUCCAUAUCGACGGGAUGUUUGGCACCUCGAUGUCGGCUCGUCGCAUCCUGGGGCUGGAGUAGGUCCCAAGGGUUGGGCUGUUCGCCCAUUAAAGCGGCACGCGAGCUGGGUUUAGAACGUCGUGAGACAGUUCGGUCCCUAUCCUCCGCGCGCGCAGGAGACUUGAGAAGAGCUGUCCCUAGUACGAGAGGACCGGGACGGACGAACCUCUGGUGUGCCAGUUGUCAUGCCAAUGGCACGGCUGGUUAGCUACGUUCGGAAGGGAUAACCGCUGAAAGCAUCUAAGCGGGAAGCCUGCUUCAAGAUGAGGUCUCCCACCCCUCGAGGGUUAAGGCCCCCAGCAGGACCACUGGGUUGAUAGGCCAGAAGUGUAAGCCUGGUAACAGGUUCAGCCGACUGGUACUAAUAGGCCGAGGACUUCACU